GAUGAACGCUGGCGGCGUGCCUAAUACAUGCAAGUCGAGCGAACGGACGAGAAGCUUGCUUCUCUGAUGUUAGCGGCGGACGGGUGAGUAACACGUGGAUAACCUACCUAUAAGACUGGGAUAACUUCGGGAAACCGGAGCUAAUACCGGAUAAUAUUUUGAACCGCAUGGUUCAAAAGUGAAAGACGGUCUUGCUGUCACUUAUAGAUGGAUCCGCGCUGCAUUAGCUAGUUGGUAAGGUAACGGCUUACCAAGGCAACGAUGCAUAGCCGACCUGAGAGGGGGAUCGGCCACACUGGAACUGAGACACGGUCCAGACUCCUACGGGAGGCAGCAGUAGGGAAUCUUCCGCAGUGGGCGAAAGCCUGACGGAGCAACGCAGCGUGAGUGAUGAAGGUCUGCGGAUCGUAAAACUCUGUUAUGAGGGAAGAACAUAUGUGUAAGUAACUGUGCACAUCUGGACGGUACCUAAUCAGAAAGCCACGGCGAACUACGU
This 496-nucleotide ribosomal RNA is filed under the name uncultured bacterium. RNAcentral's name for it is "partial 16S ribosomal RNA". It matches the Rfam family "Bacterial small subunit ribosomal RNA", at positions 28 to 506 of the family's 1533-position model. The record is from RNAcentral.